This is a transfer RNA of Camelus ferus (Wild Bactrian camel), 72 nucleotides long. It matches the Rfam family "tRNA". From Rfam's summary of the family: Transfer RNA (tRNA) molecules are approximately 80 nucleotides in length. Their secondary structure includes four short double-helical elements and three loops (D, anti-codon, and T loops). Further hydrogen bonds mediate the characteristic L-shaped molecular structure. tRNAs have two regions of fundamental functional importance: the anti-codon, which is responsible for specific mRNA codon recognition, and the 3' end, to which the tRNAs corresponding amino acid is attached (by aminoacyl-tRNA synthetases). tRNAs cope with the degeneracy of the genetic code in two manners: having more than one tRNA (with a specific anti-codon) for a particular amino acid; and 'wobble' base-pairing, i.e. permitting non-standard base-pairing at the 3rd anti-codon position. The record is from Rfam. NCBI's taxonomy places the organism in Eukaryota, Metazoa, Chordata, Mammalia, Artiodactyla, Camelidae.
UGGGGUAUUGCUCAGUGGUAGAGCAUAUGCUUAGCAUGCAGGAGGUACUGGGUUCAAUCCCCAGUGCCUCCA